UGCUUGGCAACGCUAUAAGAUUAUUAUUACUGCGAUGAUUUCAUCAUUUUCCGCGACUAUUUUGCUGAUAAUCUCCUGUUCGUCCAUUUCAAAUACUAUUAUACACUUUCUUGAUAAAAAACUGUUCGUUGCGAUCACGCUAUACACUUUUCUAACCUACACUCAGUUGACAUAACUUUGCACUUAUUUACACUAAAUUGCACUGACGUCAUACUAGUGCCAUGUCGUGCAGAGUAGGGAAGACCCAAUGAACAAAGCUAUUGAAGACUACUUAAAUAUAUGGCAGAGAAGUCAACUUUGGUUGGUCUAUAUCAUAUCAACAGAAAAUUGGUUCAUAUCAACAACACAAAUAAUGAUGUACAAUAUAAUGUAUCUAAGCCGAGGCGUCACAAUUUAUACAUUAUGGAUACGUAAUCCAACCAUCUUGUCCAUCCAACCAAUCAGUGCAAUUUGGCAACAAUCGUUUUGACGUUUCAAAACGUCAAAUUAGUUGUCAACAAAUUUCGAGUAAUUGUUGCGGUUCAUAAACCUCUAAAACUUGAUGCCACGCCACACGAAGUUAAACCUCGAAGAUUUGAAUUUAAGUGUCGAAUCAAUUAAAAACGUUUCAAGAAAUGAAUAAAAUCAUCUUCGGAUAUACCCCGGUUGAUUUGAAGCGAAUUUUAUUAACUUUUUAUUAUUUUAAGAAUGAAUGGAAAUUUGGAUGAACAUCUCCAACAAAACAACGCUUUUUA
Onthophagus taurus is the source of this 734-nucleotide non-coding RNA. Lineage: Eukaryota; Metazoa; Arthropoda; Insecta; Coleoptera; Scarabaeidae. The record is from RefSeq and is a predicted model, not a curated record.